UGGGGAAUCUUGCGCAAUGGGCGAAAGCCUGACGCAGCGACGCCGCGUGAGGGAAGAAGGCCUUCGGGUUGUAAACCUCUUUCAGCAGGGACGAAGCUACUCGGGUUAAUAGCCCAGAGGGUGACGGUACCUGCAGAAGAAGCCCCGGCUAACUACGUGCCAGCAGCCGCGGUAAUACGUAGGGGGCAAGCGUUGUCCGGAUUUACUGGGCGUAAAGAGCGUGUAGGCGGCCAGGCAGGUCUGUUGUGAAAACUGGAGGCUCAACCUCCAGACGUCGACAGAAACCGCUUGGCUAGAGUCCGGAAGAGGAGAGUGGAAUUCCUGGUGUAGCGGUGAAAUGCGCAGAUAUCAGGAAGAACACCAAUGGCGAAGGCAGCUCUCGUGGGACGGUACUGACGCUGAGACGCGAAAGCGUGGGGAGCGAACAGGAUUAGAUACCCUGGUACGUCCGACGCCGUAAACGA
Molecule: ribosomal RNA, 464 nt
Filed under: uncultured Actinomycetes bacterium
Lineage: Bacteria; Bacillati; Actinomycetota; Actinomycetes
Description: bacterial SSU rRNA
Rfam family: Bacterial small subunit ribosomal RNA
Source: RNAcentral